GGUUUCCGUAGGUGAACCUGCGGAAGGAUCAUUACCGAGUGCGGGCCCCUCGGGGCCCAACCUCCCACCCGUGUUGCCCGAACCUAUGUUGCCUCGGCGGGCCCCGCGCCCGCCGACGGCCCCCCUGAACGCUGUCUGAAGUUGCAGUCUGAGACCUAUAACGAAAUUAGUUAAAACUUUCAACAACGGAUCUCUUGGUUCCGGCAUCGAUGAAGAACGCAGCGAAAUGCGAUAACUAAUGUGAAUUGCAGAAUUCAGUGAAUCAUCGAGUCUUUGAACGCACAUUGCGCCCUCUGGUAUUCCGGAGGGCAUGCCUGUCCGAGCGUCAUUGCUGCCCUCAAGCCCGGCUUGUGUGUUGGGCCCCGUCCCCCCCGCCGGGGGGACGGGCCCGAAAGGCAGCGGCGGCACCGCGUCCGGUCCUCGAGCGUAUGGGGCUUCGUCACCCGCUCUAGUAGGCCCGGCCGGCGCCAGCCGACCCCCAACCUUUAAUUAUCUCAGGUUGACCUCGGAUCAGGUAGGGAUACCCGC
This 528-nucleotide ribosomal RNA is filed under the name fungal sp. LP5_4259. RNAcentral's name for it is "eukaryotic LSU rRNA". The stretch from base 175 to 328 matches the Rfam family "5.8S ribosomal RNA". Lineage: Eukaryota; Fungi. The record is from RNAcentral.